UAACCUGACGUUUAACUGUAUUUGGUACGCGUGCGGAAAGGAAACUAUCUCCAGCUCGCGGUACGUCGACAAGGAAGUAAUAUUUCCGACGACGUUACUGGGGCGUGCUAAGUUUUGUUACAAGAUACCACCGUCAGUGUUUUAAAUGUAGACAUUAGUCAGUUAAUGUUUAUCGGUCAAAGACGGAGGUUAGGAACGCGAGGAUGUCGGACGCGAGAGAUCUUAAUUGGACCAUAAUUCAUCGGCAGUCUUUCUUGCGGCCAGGUAAUGCCGUGCCGUUCUUUUUCCGGUCGUAUUCUUGUUCUUCUCGCUUCCUUACGCAUGCAGAUGCGUGUUCGCCGAUGAUUCUGCGAUACGCGGAACUUUGCGUGACGCAGUUCCAGCAGAAUUGGAUUUAUACUGAAAGAGAAAAAACACGAAAUAAUAAACAGGAACGCCGAUGAGGAUAUCCGACGUGGAAUAAACAAUAAACUAUCUAUUGCAUUGUGCGUAUCCGAAACGCUCCUCGGAAUUCCAUUUCCCAGAGGAGGGUGAGAUGGUGCUGAAAGGACACCUCCUUGUCAAAUCCGGCCAAAACUCAUGAGAGGAGAAUUGAUGGUGUCGCGAACGUGGCUAGAAUCCUGUUUGCAGUACCUACACGGACGUUUCCUGCCGACUCUUCCGGCCGCGCGUUUAACGGCUGUACAAAAACCAACGCGCGCCUGUUUUGUCCCCUUCCUGUCCGUUCGUUUUCGUGACCGGGCGCCGAUUGGCGAGGUUGCAGCUUCCGUCGAGGUGUCGGGCAGGAGGCGACGGUGCCAGGGGAGAAGAAAUUCCUGGUAACUUUCCCUCCUACGCAUGAACGGCCGCGAGGGGCGAGGAGAGAGGCGGGAUGAGUCGCUAGCGAUGGGAUCAACCGGGAUUUUUCUUUAACUACGAUUGAAGCAUUGAUAAUGUUACCUCAUGUUCUUUCUUCAUGUGAUGGUUACAUCGUAUUUCAGGUGGAGAUUGCGUCGCUCGAAAUGCGUCACUCACCUCUUUCGACUGCGACAAAUAGCACGCCCGACUCGAGGCCGCAUACUUUCCGCGAAACUUUAGUACGGAGAUACCAAGCGUACUCGCAAACGUGUCGCAAUAAAUUUACAGGAUUGUUCCAAUCUUUCGCUUAAGGUUUUCAGUCAAAAUUAAUCAUAAAAAUUGAAAAUCGUCUCACGUAAAAAAUUACUAUGAAAAUAGGGUAAAAAAUCAUUGAAGUCAUUAGUUCACAUUUUGAAGUGUUAAUGAAAUGAUAUGUUUGGAAUUUAAAGUGGAUGCUAAUCUUUAUUGUAUUCUUAAGUAUCCUUAUUGUAUCCUUUCAGAUGCUUGUUGAUGAUCUUCAGAAGAUGUGUAUGUGUGAAUACAAGAAUGUGAAUACACAGUCGGAAACUAUAUUUAUCUCAAUAUGCUACUUUAGCCUCAUCUUGAUCUACCUGAAAUGAGGUCAUAAAUCAGAAACCCUGCAAUGACCCUAAUCGCAGUCUUCGGUGGAGUUCAUAUUUCAAGAAAGUAGCAGCAUGCCAUAAAUUCCUCUUCGUCUCGCGUCUCGUCAAGCUUCGCCUUCUUUUGUUGCGAUUUCUUCUUCGUUCUUAAAUUAUCGUCGAAAAUGUUCAACGACGUGCAAUUUGGUUUUACAGCAACGCGACAACUGAGAAUUGGAUCGGGCCCAUCGCUACAGAGCCCGCUCGACAAGCCUUUCUAAUCCGUUGGAGCGAGUUGAUGUUUUCGCGCCAGCUAGUAGACGUUAACGGACGUGCUGCCUAGCGGAAGGGGCAAGGACGGCCGAGGCCGACCGAGGCUGCAUCGGGGAGGAAGUCGGGGUCCGGGGAGGAAGAAAGAAAGAAAGAAAGAGAGGAGACCACCGAUCGGGGCGGACUAAACAGCAACGACCGCGCGCGCCCACGUGCGUGUGAGUCGCACCGCGCGUGGUACGAAGGCUCGGCGGCGGGUCGGUGUGUGCGUGGUUGCGCGCGAUGCCACCGACACCGGAUCUCGAGGAGUCGUGCGAGUUAGGAGCAACGUGGGAUUUUGUGAUGGAACGCGUGUGUGCAUUGCGAUGGAAUUUCGUCCUCUCGAUGCGAGAGAGAGACUGCACCGGACGAGACAUUUUCAUUCGAUGAAAUACAUUGUAAAUUAGCGUCUUAUAAAAUCGAUAAAUUCAGUUUAAAUUUUUUAAAUUUAACAACUGGUUCUUUAAAUUAUUUUACGAAAAAGAUGCAGUGUCCUUAGAGAAUUCAAUAUCCGUCGAUCAGCGAAAAUGUAAAUUGGACGAAAAAGUCUUCGAGCGCUUUCAGACUUCGGUAGGAUUUGAAAUGGAAUUCAAAUGGCUCGACACGCCGUCCGAAUCAUCGGUGCAAUAAACGUCGGCAAGAAUGGCGAGAACGAGCA
Non-coding RNA from Linepithema humile (Argentine ant), 2403 nucleotides. The record is from RefSeq and is a predicted model, not a curated record. Lineage: Eukaryota; Metazoa; Arthropoda; Insecta; Hymenoptera; Formicidae.